ACCAUCUAACACCGCCCUUUUACAAUAUGAGAUGAACUCAUGGUUGUGUAGGAGGGUCCAGGCUGGGGCCGGGACAGUCUGAACGUGUCUGGACAGUGCCCCUCCUCCAGAGCGAGAUGGAUCUCGGGCAGGCUCCCUUACCGCAGCGCAGCGGCCCCCCUCCUGCGCCCGUAAGGUUUACAGAUACUCCAAGCACAGCAGACAGCAAAGAUGUGCCUUGCUGGAAUCCAGAGAGCUUCUUAAUGUGGCAGCCGCUUGCUGAAAGCCCUGCAGAUACAAAACAACACUUAUUUUAAGUCUUGAGAAACUUCUUCUACUAAGUAGAAGAAAAAAGCAUUAAGGACAAGAAAGUCUGGAAUCGAGUCCUUACUUUAAGAACAAAAAUCUGGUUGAGAGUCCCAUAUAAUCACGUAGCUCCAGACAUGGGGUGUUGAAAAAUAAAGCCCCUUUCAUAAGAA
This is a non-coding RNA of Phalacrocorax carbo (great cormorant), 458 nucleotides long. The record is from RefSeq and is a predicted model, not a curated record. Lineage: Eukaryota; Metazoa; Chordata; Aves; Suliformes; Phalacrocoracidae.